Molecule: ribosomal RNA, 305 nt
Filed under: uncultured bacterium
Lineage: Bacteria
Description: bacterial SSU rRNA
Rfam family: Bacterial small subunit ribosomal RNA
Source: RNAcentral
UCCUACGGGGGGCAGCAGUGAGGAAUAUUGGUCAAUGGGCUUACGCCUGAACCGGCCAAGUCGCGUGAGGGAAGACUGCCAUAUGGGUUGUAAACCUCUUUUGUCAGGGAGCAACGCCGGCUACGUGUAGCCGGACUGAGAGUACCCGAAGAAAAAGCAUCGGCUAACUCCGUGCCAGCAGCCGCGGUAAUACGGAGGAUGCGAGCGUUAUCCGGAUUUAUUGGGUUUAAAGGGUGCGUAGGCGGAAUGCCAAGUCAGCGGUAAAAUCGCGGGGCUCAACCUCGCUCCGCCGUUGAAACUGGCGU